AUCCCGGCCAUGAAAGCCUUGGCGAAUAUAUUGUAGCUUUAGUUACUUUAAAAAAAUUAAAUAUUAAGGGCAUCUCUCAAAUAACAGAGAAGUAUUUUAUUGUUACCCACAGUUAAUCUUCAUUACAAAAUCAAAAGAAAGUAUGAUAAUUGGUUGCAAGUUACCUUUGUACUCCAAGCCACAUUCAGAUUUAUCUUAAUAAUACAGUAGUAAGAUGUCCCAUCAACCCCAAAAUGUGUGUGUGGUUACAGAAUUCAUGUCCUUAAUGCUGAUUACUUGUAUUAUCUGACUUUUUUUAAAACCUCAAUAUGUUAUCAUUGGCUGGGACAAAAACAAAAAGCAUCUCAAGGUAUCUUCUAUUUUUGCAUUUGUAUUUUAUAUUGUAUUGACCACACAACUAGCUUGUCUCUCAUCUCAAAAGUGGCGCUCCUUUGAAUUUAGUGGAAUCCUAUUUCCAAAUUAAAUAACUGUUUUUAUUGUCCCAGAUGGGUUCUCUUCUUUGUCAUUUUUUUAAAGGUGUUCUGGAGUUCUUAAAUGUCACUGGGGAAGAAAGGAGAGACGUCAAGCUGGUCAUUUACAUGAGAACGCAUCUGCACCAGCAUUGCUCAGGCAAGGGAACUUGACUGCGCCAAGCCUAUACCUACAACUCGUUCUAAGCAUGUGUGCAUGCAACCUUAAGAGUAAGUUCUGUCAAGAAAAAAUUGGAUGGAGGAGAGUGGUGAAGGGGAGGAUUCAACAAGGAAAUCAUGCCAUUAUGUGUACUUUCUACUUGUUCAGCGUGGCCAAAACACAUGUCAAAACACGUGGAUCAUUUUGCCGUAGCAUCAAAUUUGCCUCUUGGAUUUCCCAGAAGCAAAAAAUUAAGGACCAACUUCUGCACAUUAAGUUGCCUUUACGUGGAGGCCAUUUUCAGAGGCUAUUGCCCUCAGCUUCUCGUGCCAUUUCUGCUGUUUCUUAAUGUAGCACUGGUUUGACUUCAGAUUCUCCAGAAUAAUAACACUGUUGCCGUGCCUGAGGCUUGGUAUAUAUACACUUAAAACCAAACCUCUUGGCAAAUUUGUAUGAACUGGAAACAAAGACCUGUAAUCUCAGCUGUAGGCAGACGCUAAGUGUUCUGCCUGCAAUGACAGUAAAAGUUCUGUGGUAAAAUA
This is a long non-coding RNA of Pogona vitticeps (central bearded dragon), 1151 nucleotides long. RefSeq lists it as uncharacterized. The record is from RefSeq and is a predicted model, not a curated record. Lineage: Eukaryota; Metazoa; Chordata; Lepidosauria; Squamata; Agamidae.